Molecule: ribosomal RNA, 1051 nt
Filed under: Myxobolus imparfinis
Lineage: Eukaryota; Metazoa; Cnidaria; Myxozoa; Bivalvulida; Myxobolidae
Description: bacterial SSU rRNA
Rfam family: Eukaryotic small subunit ribosomal RNA
Source: RNAcentral
UGGAUACCGUGGGAAUCUAGAGCUAAUACAUGUAGGGCUCGGUGGCGGAAACGUCGCCGAUUGCAUUUAUUAGAACAAUCCAACCGUGUGACUUGUCGCAUGUGGUGAGUCUAGAUAACUUUGCAGAUCGUAUUGCCUUGAGCUGACGACAUUUCGAUUGAAUUUCUGCCCCUAUCAACUUUGUUGGCAGUGUAGUGGACUGCCAAGGUUUUGACGGGUAACGGGGGAUCAGGGUUCGAUUCCGGAGAGGGAGCCUGAGAAACGGCUACCACAUCCAAGGGAGGCAGCAGGCGCGAAAAUUACCCAAUCCAGACAAUGGGAGGUGGUGACGAAAAGUACCGGGUGGCGGGAUUUUCCUGCCGGCCUGGAAUGAAAACAAUUUAAGCAAUUGAAUUGAGUAACGACUGGAGGGCAAGUCUGGUGCCAGCAGCCGCGGUAAUUCCAGCUCCAGUGGCGUACCUCAACGUUGCUGCGCUUAAAACGCUCGUAGUUGGAUCACUCACUACGUAGUGGUGUGUCCGUUUUGGUGGUGUACUACUCGUCGCAUCGCUCGUCGAGUUUCUCGUCGUUGUCGAUGGACGAAGCAUUACCAUCGGACAGUUAGCUGCUACGUAGUAAUUGCGCGUGGGGACGGUUGUUAACCUUUGUUGCGUUGAUGGCUGUGUCUCACGGGGUGUGCCUUGAGUAAAUCARAGUGCUUAAAGCAGGCGUUAUGCUUGAAUGUUGAUAGCAUGGAACGAACAAUCGUGUAUGGUGUGUACUGACAACGGUGUUGAGAUUUAUCUCGCACUGCAGUAUACGACACCGACCGCCAAUUACGGAUGUUGGUUCCGUAUUGGGGUACUGAUUAAGAGGAGCGGUUGGGGGCAUUGGUAUUUGGCAGCGAGAGGUGAAAUUCUUGGACCUGCCAAGGACUAACAAAUGCGAAGGCAUCUGUCCAGACCGUAUCCAUUAAUCAAGAACGAAAGAGAGAGGUUCGAAGACGAUCAGAUACCGUCCUAGUUCUCUCUGUAAACGAUGCCGACCCGGGAUCAGUCUAGGGCAAACCUAC